Molecule: ribosomal RNA, 492 nt
Filed under: uncultured bacterium
Lineage: Bacteria
Description: partial 16S ribosomal RNA
Rfam family: Bacterial small subunit ribosomal RNA
Source: RNAcentral
AGUGAACGCUGGCGGUAGGCCUAACACAUGCAAGUCCAACGGCAGCACAGUAAGAGCUUGCUCUUACGGGUGGCGAGUGGCGGACGGGUGAGGAAUACAUCGGAAUCUACUUUUUCGUGGGGGAUAACGUAGGGAAACUUACGCUAAUACCGCAUACGACCUACGGGUGAAAGCAGGGGAUCUUCGGACCUUGCGCGAUUGAAUGAGCCGAUGUCGGAUUAGCUAGUUGGCGGGGUAAAGGCCCACCAAGGCGACGAUCCGUAGCUGGUCUGAGAGGAUGAUCAGCCACACUGGAACUGAGACACGGUCCAGACUCCUACGGGAGGCAGCAGUGGGGAAUAUUGGACAAUGGGCGCAAGCCUGAUCCAGCCAUACCGCGUGGGUGAAGAAGGCCUUCGGGUUGUAAAGCCCUUUUGUUGGGAAAGAAAAGCAGCAGGUUAAUACCCCGCUGUUCUGACGGUACCCAAAGAAUAAGCACCGGCUAACUUCGUG